GUGGAUUUUACUACAUUAAUUUGACAACUGACUUGACAACUUCAAUGAUGGUCUAACGCCAGGAUUAUGUUAUUUACAAUUAGACUUUCAAAACAGUGUCUUGUGCCUGGUUUUACUGGAAAAUGAAUUUUAUUCGUUGCUACUUCUAUUUCCAUUGGAAACAAAGUGUACCUGAACAAAGUGUACAGAAACAUGCACGGAGGAAUUAGAAGUGAAAUAGAUCGUCAUGUAUUCCUAGUAAAACUAAAACUAUACACGUAAACGUGAGAGAAUAUAUAUAUAAACGAUACAGAAACCAAUGUUUUGCGAACCGUCUUCUAGUUAGGCUACUCUAGCAACUCUAGUAACUGCGCGAACUUCGAAACAUUCGGCCUCACAUGAUCAGGAAAGUAUGAAGAUGAGAAUUGGCGCGGAUAGUUUACGAUGCGAGUAACAGGAAACAAGUAUGCGUUAGUUAUGUUAAUAUAAGUUGAAUGUUCAUUAACCUCUGUUCGCGUGUUAAAUAGGCUAGGAACGAUGGAGAAAGGCUGUAGUCGAAGACAAAUUCCAGAAUUGAAUGUCGAGGACAGAGAACGAAUAAACAACCUUAUAGGGAUGUUAGAAGAUGGCAGAAGGUCGAACGCAUUUGCCUAGGCAUUUCACGCGGCGAGGAUAUUGAUUGUACGUGAUAUAUACACAGUAAGGUAAUAGAUAGCUAAGCUUUAACGUCACAAAAUUCAAUCUCCAAUUAGUCAAAAUUAUGUAUUAAGAGAUGCGUUAGUUUUUGACAUGAAGAAAACCAUGGUAGAGAAAAGAAAUACUACUAUAUACUACAAAUAAACGAGCAUAGUGAUAAAGUAGUAACAAGAAUGACUUCCCAUACUAUGGAUCAACUGAAUGAUUCAGAGGAUGAGGAGCCAUUAGUAGUUGCCCUCUUGAGUGGCAGUUUGCCGGGCCUCUUCGGCAUGUAGCCUCUUCUUUCUUCGAGCGCAAUGCCCGCUGAAACUUAAAUCUAGGCUCGAGUUUUUUUAAAUUGCAAAACAAAGAACAACUCGCAAGAGAGAGACUGUGCUAACCUGUCCGGUCCUACCUACUUAUAAUUAAAACAGACACACCAGAAAGUUUGCUACCUGCCUAUCCAGCCGCCCGCUAUAUUUAAAAAAAAUGACAAAAGACAGACACGCCAACACACUCGCUCCACGGUUCUCACACAUACACCCGGGCGCAACCUAAUCUAGAGAGAACGUCCCGGGACGUCUCCGACACCCGAGUUUGGCACGCAACAUUCACACUCUAAUUUACGUACCAUUUCCCUGAAAUCGACUGACGAAGGCUAAUGACCAUUGCGUAAAAUGUGACAGAAAUUUAAUUUUAAUUCAGUAUAUUUCAAUUUCAUUAAUUUGCUAUAUUUAAUAUCUUAUAUCAUACCGAUAGUGCUUGUGAGAUUUAUUAAUUAUUCAAAAUUGUGUUGCUACAUUUAAAUUACUUAUAUCAUACCGAUAGUGCUUGUGAGAUUUAUUAAUUAUUCAAAAUUGUGUUGCCCGGAAUAACGACGCAAUUCUACAGCCUAAUCACACACACACACAAUGUAGAAAAUACGUCGUGCACGAUACACCAACGCAUCGUCAGUCGCUGAGAAAUUAUUAAGUUUAUAAACUAUGGUCAUCAUGCCCAUUGCCUUUCUCCCACUCAAGUAGCACGUGGGCACGUGAGUGAGAUCCUGGUAAUGAACAUGGAAAGGAUUAAAUCUGAAAAUCCUGAGCUAAAAAACUGAUUAAUUAUGAUAUCUAACGGGCUAAUAUUCCUUUGUUCCAACUUUCAAUGACUGUACUUUAUAAUUUACUUUAAUAAUUCAAUACAUUACUAUGAAAUGUUACACUCGAAUGAAAAAGAAAUUGGCAAUAAAUAUUCAGUUCAAAUAAUAUAAUAUUCAACAAUCUGUGAGUUUGUGAUUCUAAGUAGUAAAAUAUUAAUAGAAAUAUUCUCAGGCGACUCCCUUAUCAAAGCAGAUCUUUGAAAAUGCAAAAGUAACAUUUAAAAUUCAUUCGUUGCUUUGACUCUGAAAUCUGCCUGUCGCGAAACGUUCUCUUGCACGUGAAAUUUAAUACAUCUUCAGAGAGAUGAAGUGAAUUUCAUGUUUCAAAUGAAAAUUGUAUUGAAUGUAAAAGGAAAAUAAUUAGAAUAUUACAAUAUUUACAAUAUUAAGAGAACGUGACGUGCAAGAGAACCCAUCCUGAGCUAAUAAAUAAAACACAGGAAGGAAAAUGUUACUACUCACGGGUAAAUACCCAUGAUCACUAUGCUCGUCAAAAGUUUCUACGUAAUACAACCAGUCAUCCGUGUCGAUUUGGACCUUUCAUCCUACGACAUGUUUGAAUGACCAGAGGAACAAAAAUACAUGCGACUCACGGUUAGAUGAACUCCAUAGAAGAAAUGAAGGUCAGGAAAAAUCUGCAACGAAGUAUAAAAUAUAAUUUGUUCUUAAAGACGGUGUUAAUUAUUUGGAAAGUUUGAAAUAACGAAAUAACUGCCUGCUAUUAAACAUAACGUUUUAACGAUAAUAUUCGAUUCAGGAGUAGAAAGUUUGAACUUUCAAUCACAUUCCAUUCUUAAUUAAUAACAAUUAAAGCAAAAUACAAGGAAUAAAGUUGAUUGGAAUACAAUAUGUAAGGAUUCUUACAUGCUUAACCUCGAAGCAUCGCACAGUCGUCUCCAGGAAACAGGAA
Frieseomelitta varia is the source of this 2705-nucleotide long non-coding RNA. RefSeq lists it as uncharacterized. The record is from RefSeq and is a predicted model, not a curated record. NCBI's taxonomy places the organism in Eukaryota, Metazoa, Arthropoda, Insecta, Hymenoptera, Apidae. The transcript is spliced from 2 exons.